RNAcentral lists this ribosomal RNA (467 nucleotides) under uncultured bacterium. Its description in RNAcentral is "partial 16S ribosomal RNA". It matches the Rfam family "Bacterial small subunit ribosomal RNA", at positions 28 to 507 of the family's 1533-position model. The record is from RNAcentral.
GACGAACGCUGGCGGCGUGCUUAACACAUGCCAGUCGAACGGAAAGGCUCCAGCUUGCUGGAGUACUCGAGUGGCGAACGGGUGAGUAACACGUGGGUAAUCUGCCCUGCACUCUGGGAUAAGCCUGGGAAACUGGGUCUAAUACUGGAUAUGACCUUUCUCCUUAUGGGGUUUGGUGGAAAGUUUUUCUGUGUAGGAUGAGCCCGCGGCCUAUCAGCUUGUUGGUGGGGUGAUGGCCUACCAAGGCGACGACGGGUAGCCGGCCUGAGAGGGUGAUCGGCCACAUUGGGACUGAGAUACGGCCCAGACUCCUACGGGAGGCAGCAGUGGGGAAUAUUGCACAAUGGGCGGAAGCCUGAUGCAGCGACGCCGCGUGAGGGAUGACGGCCUUCGGGUUGUAAACCUCUUUCAGCAGGGACGAAGCGUAAGUGACGGUACCUGCAGAAGAAGCACCGGCUAACUACGUG